GACGAACGCUGGCGGCGUGCUUAACACAUGCAAGUCGAGCGGUAAGGCCUUCGGGUACACGAGCGGCGAACGGGUGAGUAACACGUGGGUGAUCUGCCUUGCACUUCGGGAUAAGCCUGGGAAACUGGGUCUAAUACCGGAUAUGACUGCGAAUCGCAUGGUUUGUGGUGGAAAGAUUUAUCGGUGCGAGAUGGGCCCGCGGCCUAUCAGCUUGUUGGUGGGGUAAUGGCCUACCAAGGCGACGACGGGUAGCCGGCCUGAGAGGGCGACCGGCCACACUGGGACUGAGACACGGCCCAGACUCCUACGGGAGGCAGCAGUGGGGAAUAUUGCACAAUGGGCGGAAGCCUGAUGCAGCGACGCCGCGUGGAGGAUGACGGCCUUCGGGUUGUAAACUCCUUUCGCCAGGGACGAAGCGCAAGUGACGGUACCUGGAGAAGAAGCACCGGCCAACUACGUGCCAGCCGCCGCCGUAAAAC
RNAcentral lists this ribosomal RNA (479 nucleotides) under uncultured bacterium. Its description in RNAcentral is "bacterial SSU rRNA". It matches the Rfam family "Bacterial small subunit ribosomal RNA", at positions 28 to 526 of the family's 1533-position model. The record is from RNAcentral.